GACGAAGGAUGCAAGCGUUAUCCGGAUUCAUUGGGUUUAAAGGGAGCGUAGGCGGCCUUGUAAGUCAGUGGUGAAAUCUCGCAACUUAACUGCGAAACUGCCAUUGAUACUGCAGGGCUUGAGUACAGAUGCUGUGGGCGGAAUAUGACAUGUAGUGGUGAAAUACAUAGAGAUGUCAUAGAACACCGAUUGCGAAGGCAGCUCACAAAACUGUAACUGACGCUGAGGCUCGAAAGUGUGGGGAUCAAACAGG
RNAcentral lists this ribosomal RNA (253 nucleotides) under uncultured bacterium. Its description in RNAcentral is "partial 16S ribosomal RNA". It matches the Rfam family "Bacterial small subunit ribosomal RNA", at positions 524 to 776 of the family's 1533-position model. The record is from RNAcentral.